CUGGCUCAGAACGAACGCUGGCGGCAGGCCUAACACAUGCAAGUCGAGCGCGCCCUUCGGGGUGAGCGGCGGACGGGUGAGUAACGCGUGGAACGUGCCCUUCUCUACGGAAUAGUCUCGGGAAACUCGGGGUAAUGCCGUAUACGCCCUUCGGAGGAAAGAUUUAUCGGGGAAGGAUCGGCCCGCGUUGGAUUAGGUAGUUGGUGGGGUAAUGGCCUACCAAGCCGACGAUCCAUAGCUGGUUUGAGAGGAUGAUCAGCCACACUGGGACUGAGACACGGCCCAGAC
Molecule: ribosomal RNA, 288 nt
Filed under: uncultured Paracoccus PC1
Lineage: Bacteria; Pseudomonadati; Pseudomonadota; Alphaproteobacteria; Rhodobacterales; Paracoccaceae
Description: partial 16S ribosomal RNA
Rfam family: Bacterial small subunit ribosomal RNA
Source: RNAcentral